Molecule: ribosomal RNA, 240 nt
Filed under: uncultured bacterium
Lineage: Bacteria
Description: partial 16S ribosomal RNA
Rfam family: Bacterial small subunit ribosomal RNA
Source: RNAcentral
GAUCCUGGCUCAGGAUGAACGCUGGCGGCGUGCUUAACACAUGCAAGUCGAGCGAAGCACUUAAGUUCGAUUCUUCGGAUGAAGACUUUUGUGACUGAGCGGGCGGACGGGUGAGGUAACGCGUGGGUAACCUGCCUCAUACAGGGGGAUAACAGUUAGAAAUGGCUGCUAAUACCGCAUAAGACCACAGUACUGCAUGGUACAGUGGUAAAAACUCCGGUGGUAUGAGAUGGACCCGCG